RNAcentral lists this ribosomal RNA (511 nucleotides) under uncultured bacterium. RNAcentral describes it as "bacterial SSU rRNA". It matches the Rfam family "Bacterial small subunit ribosomal RNA", at positions 8 to 518 of the family's 1533-position model. The record is from RNAcentral.
AGAGUUUGAUCAUGGCUCAGGAUGAACGCUGGCGGCGUGCUUAACACAUGCAAGUCGAACGAAGCACUGAAGAAUGGAGAUUCGUCAAAGUUCUCUUGACUGAGUGGCGAACGGGUGAGUAACGCGUGAGCAACCUGCCCUUCAGAGGGGGACAACAGUUGGAAACGACUGCUAAUACCGCAUGACGUGUUUGGACGGCAUCGUCUGAACACCAAAGGAGAAAUCCGCUGAGGGAUGGGCUCACGUCUGAUUAGCUUGUUGCGGGGUAACGGCCACCAAGGCGACGAUCAGUAGCCGGACUGAGAGGUUGAACGGCCACAUUGGGACUGAGAUACGGCCCAGACUCCUACGGGAGGCAGCAGUGGGGAAUAUUGGGCAAAUGGGCGAAAGCCUGACCCAGCAACGCCGCGUGAAGGAAGAAGGCCUUCGGGUUGUAAACUUCUUUUAACAGGGACGAAGAAGUGACGGUACCUGUUGAAUAAGCCACGGCUAACUACGUGCCAGCCGCCGC